UAGGAAUAUUAGUAAUGGGCGAAAGCCUGAACUAGCAACGCCGCGUGUGCGAAGAAGGCCUUCGGGUUGUAAAGCACUUUUUGAGAGGAUGAGGAAGGACGGUACUCUCAGAAUAAGUCUCGGCUAACUACGUGCCAGCAGCCGCGGUAACACGUAGGAGGCGAACGUUAUCCGGAUUUACUGGGCGUAAAGCGCGUGUAGGUGGUUUGGUAAGUAGGGCGUGAAAGCUCCUGGCUCAACUGGGAGAGGCCGUUCUAAACUGCCGAACUAGAGGAUGGUAGAGGGAGGUGGAAUUCCGGGUGUAGCGGUGGAAUGCGCAGAUAUCCGGAGGAACACCAGUGGCGAAAGCGGCCUCCUGGACCAUUCCUGACACUCAGACGCGAAAGCUAGGGUAGCAAACGG
RNAcentral lists this ribosomal RNA (402 nucleotides) under uncultured bacterium. RNAcentral's name for it is "bacterial SSU rRNA". It matches the Rfam family "Bacterial small subunit ribosomal RNA", at positions 356 to 775 of the family's 1533-position model. The record is from RNAcentral.